RNAcentral lists this long non-coding RNA (327 nucleotides) under Triticum aestivum (bread wheat). Its description in RNAcentral is "long non-coding RNA (TAES_LNC003534)". Lineage: Eukaryota; Viridiplantae; Streptophyta; Magnoliopsida; Poales; Poaceae. The record is from RNAcentral.
CGCCAUCUCCCCUUCUCGCACUUUAUUUCUGUUAUUCCACCACUGCCACCAUGAGGUGACGAUUAAUACUCGCUUUGUCUCCUACAGCUUCCACGAAGAGUCCAGCAUUGCAUGCACGUUGUUGAUUUUCUCAAGCUCCGAUCUCUCAGUUUCGAGACCAAGCUCUCGCCAAAUUUGUUUCACAUGCUUGCACUUAAUAAAUAGGUGUGCUCCAUCCUCCUCAUUCCUACCACAAAACAAACAUUUGGAGUUCUCCAGUUUAAUACCUCUCCGCUGCAGGUUCGCACAUAUGGCCAGGGAUUCAUGUCUGAUUCUCCAUACGAACAU